RNAcentral lists this ribosomal RNA (253 nucleotides) under uncultured bacterium. RNAcentral's name for it is "partial 16S ribosomal RNA". It matches the Rfam family "Bacterial small subunit ribosomal RNA", at positions 524 to 776 of the family's 1533-position model. The record is from RNAcentral.
UACGGAGGGUGCAAGCGUUGUUCGGAUUUACUGGGCGUAAAGCGCGUGUAGGCGGCCCUGCAAGUCGGGUGUGAAAUCCCACGGCUCAACCGUGGAAGUGCAUUCGAAACUGCAGGGCUAGAGUCCUGGAGAGGAAGGUGGAAUGCUUGGUGUAGAGGUGAAAUUCGUAGAUAUCAAGCGGAACACCGGUGGCGAAGGCGGCCUUCUGGACAGUGACUGACGCUGAGACGCGAAAGCGUGGGGAGCAAACAGG